UACGGAGGAUCCGAGCGUUAUCCGGAUUUAUUGGGUUUAAAGGGUGCGCAGGCGGGGGAUUAAGUCGGCGGUGAAAUUUUGCAGCUCAACUGUAAAAGUGCCUUCGAAACUGGUUUCCUUGAGUGUAGAUGAAGUAGGCGGAAUUUGUGGCGUAGCGGUGAAAUGCAUAGAUAUCACGAGGAACUCCGAUUGCGCAGGCAGCUUACUAAACUACUACUGACGCUCAGGCACGAAGGCGUGGGGAUCAAACAGGAUUAGAUACCCUGGUAGU
This 271-nucleotide ribosomal RNA is filed under the name uncultured prokaryote. Its description in RNAcentral is "partial 16S ribosomal RNA". It matches the Rfam family "Bacterial small subunit ribosomal RNA", at positions 524 to 794 of the family's 1533-position model. The record is from RNAcentral.